Small nuclear RNA from Mus spicilegus (steppe mouse), 164 nucleotides. Its record names the gene U1. It matches the Rfam family "U1 spliceosomal RNA". From Rfam's summary of the family: U1 is a small nuclear RNA (snRNA) component of the spliceosome (involved in pre-mRNA splicing). Its 5' end forms complementary base pairs with the 5' splice junction, thus defining the 5' donor site of an intron. Lineage: Eukaryota; Metazoa; Chordata; Mammalia; Rodentia; Muridae. The record is from Ensembl.
AAACUUACUUGACAGGGGAGAUAUCAUGGUCAAAUAGCUGGUUUUUCCAGGGUUAGACUUACCCAUUUCACUCUUGAUGUAAGAAUCCCUGUGAUUUUCCCCAAAUGGGAAGCUAGACUACAUAAUGUGUGGUAAUGAGAGACUAUGUUUAUGCUGUUCCCUUU